UUGGGAUCAAAAUCCUCUAUGGCAUUUGACUUGGCCUCGUCCUCGUGUACGAUGGAUUGAAGUGAAGCGAUCUGAAAACUGGUUUCCUUAACGACCCUGUUUAAGGAAGCCGGCCAAACCACUCAAAACAUAUGCUCCAAAAUCUCAUCCUCAAAACCCAUCUCUUAUCUCUUCUUUCUCUUCUUUCUCUUCUUCUUCUUCUUCUGCUUGAGGGUUUGCCAAGAAGAGAAAACAUCCAUUCGUCUUAAGCAUAGCAGGUCCUUUGCUUCAUCUCUCACAUUCGAAUGAUUGAUCAUCUCUUCAUACCUUCUUCUUCAGAUUUCGUUUGAACGUCUUCAUCCCUUCUUCUCCAGAUUUGCAAGGGAACAUGCGAUGAAGCUCUUUCUCAAUUUUCUUCCCAAGCAUCGAUAACAGAUAUUUUGCACCAAUACUAGGAAUGGGAUUAAUGGCAUUAUUUAUCAUCUUUGAUUGUUGAUUUUGGUUGUUUAAUUUUGGUUAUUGAUUUUGGCUUUUGAUUAAGGACAUUUAUUUUGCACAGAACCAGUUUUAUCUUUUUUUGUGUAUGCUUACCUUUAUUUUGCUUUAGAUUUAGGAUAUUGAAAACUAACUUUUUCAGAUUAUAGGUGAAUCUUAAGCUCAAAAAUGGAAGCGCACCUGAGAUUUGACCCAAAGUAUGAUGGUUCGAAUCCAUCAAGAUUCUUGGAAAACUAAAUAUUGGUUGUGUGGUGUGUUGCAUAAUGAUUUUCUUACUUGUUUGAAUAGAAACAGAUCUGGUGUUUACCUAA
Macadamia integrifolia is the source of this 785-nucleotide long non-coding RNA. RefSeq lists it as uncharacterized. The record is from RefSeq and is a predicted model, not a curated record. Lineage: Eukaryota; Viridiplantae; Streptophyta; Magnoliopsida; Proteales; Proteaceae. The transcript has 2 exons.